UUUCAGAUCUUUCUUCUGAUGUCCUGCUGUUCUUGCACACCAGAGGCCAUGCCUUUUGGCACCUUCAACUUAUUGCCUGACUGUUCAGACUCCUUACCAUGUAACUAAAUAAAUUUCCUGAAACAGGCUGAAAUUGAGGGUGACUCCUGCAUCUUCCAGGUUGCUCUGCUUCUGAACUUCCCUUGGGCCUGAGAGGGCUGCUCCUCCUGCAUGUGCUGAGUGUCACUGACUUGGGCUCUCUCUGGCACAGGGAGGAAAUGCUGCCUGAAAAGGACUGUGGGCAAGACCAUGUUCUUCUGGCCUCAUUUAUCCAGCUCAGAAUCCAUCUCCAGGACUGUGUCUUCUCUGCUGUGUGAGGCCCAAGUGGCUCUGGCUGAGAUUUGUCUCCCUGUGACCUGCAGCUGCUAUGAGAUCCAUAGGAAAGAAGUCAGGACUCUCCAGAAGGCAAGAAAUGGUGAGUGUGGGUUGAGGACUGCUCAGGGAGGUGGGCUGUUUAGAACUGGUGGGAACCAUCUGUGUGGCUGGACUCUGGCCUCCCACUGUUAG
This 546-nucleotide long non-coding RNA is filed under the name Ictidomys tridecemlineatus (thirteen-lined ground squirrel). RNAcentral describes it as "lncRNA (ENSSTOG00000033461.1)". The record is from RNAcentral. Lineage: Eukaryota; Metazoa; Chordata; Mammalia; Rodentia; Sciuridae.